GUUGUUUAGUUUCGUAAGGCCUACACACCCAAAAAGUUUCAUUGAAUUAUGGAGAGGGAAAGUUUCUAUGCACAUAUUGUAUAUCUCAAAUUAAUAAACGAGCGAGAUUACCUCAACUUAUGCAAGAAAGUGAAGACCAAUGCCGCAUGUUUAGUGCAACAUACCACGGUCAACUCAUCAUGCAGUUAUUACACGACUGCUUCACUUUUUCCUCGGGCAUCUCCAGCGGUAGCGGCGUUCGACCAAGUGAGUAAUUUCUUUAUAAAGUGCCAGCUAAUUUGCGAACUGUGUAACAUUCAAUAUGCAAUAACUUUCCGAGUUUCGAUUGUUUACGGUUGGACCACCCUUGCAUGUUGCAGUUUGAUUUAGAUUGGAAUGCGAUUGAAAUUUCGUUGUACUCUUGUCAUUAUCAUUACUAGUGAGCAAAAAUAAAGAGAAGAAAAUCGAGCCCCUGAAACUAACUGAAUCUAACCGUUGUUUCGGGAGCGGAACUCAUUAAA
Wyeomyia smithii (pitcher-plant mosquito) is the source of this 500-nucleotide long non-coding RNA. RefSeq lists it as uncharacterized. NCBI's taxonomy places the organism in Eukaryota, Metazoa, Arthropoda, Insecta, Diptera, Culicidae. The transcript has 2 exons. The record is from RefSeq and is a predicted model, not a curated record.